Molecule: long non-coding RNA, 808 nt
Organism: Oncorhynchus gorbuscha (pink salmon)
Lineage: Eukaryota; Metazoa; Chordata; Actinopteri; Salmoniformes; Salmonidae
Exons: 4
Source: RefSeq, a predicted model, not a curated record
GAGAAGGGCAACGUUGCAUGCCCGGCAUUUUGUGUUGGACGCUAGGAGAGGGAAGUAAAGACAGAUGUCAACUGACUGACUGACUCCCGGGCUGGAGUGAUCAGUUUCAUAUGACCUGGGGCUUGAUUGGUUUAUGUCAUUAAGGCAAUCACAUGUCCCUACAGUGGAUGGAUGGCCAGCCACGCAGGAGGGUGAUUUUUACUAAGGAGGAGAAGGAGGCCGUGCUGUCCGAGAUGCAUGCUGGCCAUUUCGGAGAGAAGCACAUGACAAGCAAAAUCAACCUACGCAUCUUCUGACGGGGAAUUGAAAUAACCUUUUAUAAAUCACAUUCUAUUAUAUCUGAAAUCAUUAUUAUUUCAAUGAAUGUCAUAUCAGAGAGCACACUGUUUCAAUUUGUCACUUUCUAGCCUGCCAGAAGUUUGAGAGGGCGAAGACUGUGGCGCCGGAGUUGAAGCCCAUCAAAGUUGUUUCACCAUGGGGUGGACCUCAUCAGACACUUCACCAAAUCCAGGAAUGGCAACAGCUGGUGUCUGACUGCGACCAAUCACUUGAUGGAGGCAGUACUCAUUAAGGAGGAGACUGGUGAGGCCACCCCAAGGCCAUGGAGAUCUUCAAAACCCAUGGUUCUCCUGAGGCCAUCUUGAGUGAACGAGGUGAUGAAUGCUGGAACAAGGUACGGAUGUUAUAGAGUCGCAAUUCAACGGCUCAGACACAAGAGGUAUGUGGCAGGGUCUACAGUCAAUCACGGAUUACAAAAAGAAAACCAGCCCCGGCGCGGACCAGAAUGUCUUGCUCCCAGGAUGUCUUG